RNAcentral lists this transfer RNA (85 nucleotides) under Pseudomonadota bacterium. Its description in RNAcentral is "tRNA-Leu". It matches the Rfam family "tRNA". Rfam says of the family: Transfer RNA (tRNA) molecules are approximately 80 nucleotides in length. Their secondary structure includes four short double-helical elements and three loops (D, anti-codon, and T loops). The record is from RNAcentral. Lineage: Bacteria; Pseudomonadati; Pseudomonadota. RNAcentral also lists the same sequence under 3 other names.
GCGGACGUGGCGGAAUUGGCAGACGCGCAGCGCUCAGGACGCUGUGGGUAACACCGUGGAGGUUCGAGUCCUCUCGUCCGCACCA